GACGAACGCUGGCGGCGUGCUUAACACAUGCAAGUCGAACGGAAAGGCCUGCUUUCCCUUGUGGAUUGCGGGUACUCGAGUGGCGAACGGGUGAGUAACACGUGAGUGAUCUGCCCCCAACUUGGGUAUAAGCCUGGGAAACUGGGUCUAAUUCCCGAUAGGACUGCAGGGUGGUGCCUGUGGUGGAAAACGAUUUUCUAGUGGUUGUGGAUGAGCUCGCGGCCUAUCAGCUUGUUGGUGGGGUAAUGGCCUACCAAGGCGGCGACGGGUAGCCGGCCUGAGAGGGUGGACGGCCACAUUGGGACUGAGAUACGGCCCAGACUCAGACGGGAGGCAGCAGUGGGGAAUAUUGCACAAUGGGCGGAAGCCUGAUGCAGCGACGCCGCGUGGGGGAUGACGGCCUUCGGGUGGUAAACUCCUUUCGACCGCGAGGAAGCCACCUGGUUGGAAGGGUGGUGACGGUAGUGGUAGAAGAAGCACCGGCUAACUACGUG
This 494-nucleotide ribosomal RNA is filed under the name uncultured bacterium. RNAcentral's name for it is "partial 16S ribosomal RNA". It matches the Rfam family "Bacterial small subunit ribosomal RNA", at positions 28 to 507 of the family's 1533-position model. The record is from RNAcentral.